GCUGGGUGUGGUGGCGCAUGCCUGUAAUCCCAGCUACUCGGGAGGCUGAGGCAGGAGAAUUGCUUGAACCCAGGAGAUGGAGAUUGCAGUGAGCCGACAUUGCGACACUGCACUACAGCCUGGGUGACAGAGCAAGCCUCUGUCUCAA
Unclassified non-coding RNA from Macaca fascicularis (crab-eating macaque), 148 nucleotides. It matches the Rfam family "Metazoan signal recognition particle RNA". Rfam says of the family: The signal recognition particle (SRP) is a universally conserved ribonucleoprotein. It is involved in the co-translational targeting of proteins to membranes. The record is from Ensembl. Lineage: Eukaryota; Metazoa; Chordata; Mammalia; Primates; Cercopithecidae.